This 82-nucleotide small nuclear RNA is filed under the name Caenorhabditis japonica. RNAcentral describes it as "sRNA CJA48895". It matches the Rfam family "SmY spliceosomal RNA". The record is from Rfam by way of RNAcentral. Lineage: Eukaryota; Metazoa; Nematoda; Chromadorea; Rhabditida; Rhabditidae.
AAAUCUGCCAGCCUAGUUACAGGGCCUUUAAGAAGACCCACAGUAAAAAUUUUGAAAACCCUGUUCUUUUUAGGCCAGGGUA